Molecule: ribosomal RNA, 450 nt
Filed under: uncultured bacterium
Lineage: Bacteria
Description: partial 16S ribosomal RNA
Rfam family: Bacterial small subunit ribosomal RNA
Source: RNAcentral
AGCGAACAUUGGCGGUAGGCUUAACACAUGCAAGUCGAGCGAGGCGUAAUAGUCGAGCGGCGAACGGGUGCGUAAUACAUGGGAAUCUACCUCGAAGUGGGGGAUAACGUUCAGAAAUGGACGCUAAUACCGCAUAAUCCAUAUUGGGAAAGCGUUGCAGCGCGUUGAGAUGAGCCCAUGGCUGAUUAGCUAGUUGGUGAGGUAAUGGCUCACCAAGGCGACGAUCAGUAGCUGGUCUGAGAGGAUGACCAGCCACACUUGAACUGAGACACGGUCAAGACUCCGACGGGAGGCAGCAGUGAGGAAUUUUGCGCAAUGGGGGCAACCCUGACGCAGCCAUACCGCGUGAGGGAUGAAGGUCUUCGGAUUGUAAAGCUCUUUCGGCGGGGACGACGAUGACGGUACCCGCAAAAGAAGUCACGGCUAACUUCGUGCCAGCCGCCGCGGUAA